Transfer RNA from Microsporum canis CBS 113480, 84 nucleotides. It matches the Rfam family "tRNA". From Rfam's summary of the family: Transfer RNA (tRNA) molecules are approximately 80 nucleotides in length. Their secondary structure includes four short double-helical elements and three loops (D, anti-codon, and T loops). Further hydrogen bonds mediate the characteristic L-shaped molecular structure. tRNAs have two regions of fundamental functional importance: the anti-codon, which is responsible for specific mRNA codon recognition, and the 3' end, to which the tRNAs corresponding amino acid is attached (by aminoacyl-tRNA synthetases). tRNAs cope with the degeneracy of the genetic code in two manners: having more than one tRNA (with a specific anti-codon) for a particular amino acid; and 'wobble' base-pairing, i.e. permitting non-standard base-pairing at the 3rd anti-codon position. Lineage: Eukaryota; Fungi; Ascomycota; Eurotiomycetes; Onygenales; Arthrodermataceae. The record is from Rfam.
GGUCGUAUAGUGUAGCGGUUAGCACAUCGGAUUCUGAUCAUAUCUCAAAUUCCGGUAACCCUGGUUCGAUUCCUGGUAUGACCU